CAGUCGAACGAAGCACUUUAUUUGAUUUCUUCGGAAUGAAGAUUUUGUGACUGAGUGGCGGACGGGUGAGUAACGCGUGGGUAACCUGCCUCAUACAGGGGGAUAACAGUUGGAAACGACUGCUAAUACCGCAUAAGCGCACAGGGUCGCAUGACCUGGUGUGAAAAACUCCGGUGGUAUGAGAUGGACCCGCGUCUGAUUAGCCAGUUGGUGGGGUAACGGCCUACCAAAGCGACGAUCAGUAGCCGACCUGAGAGGGUGACCGGCCACAUUGGGACUGAGACACGGCCCAAACUCCUACGGGAGGCAGCAGUGGGGAAUAUUGCACAAUGGGGGAAACCCUGAUGCAGCGACGCCGCGUGAGCGAAGAAGUAUUUCGGUAUGUAAAGCUCUAUCAGCAGGGAAGAAGAAAUGACGGUACCUGACUAAGAAGCACCGGCUAAAUACGUGCCAGCAGCCGCGGUAAUACGUAUGGUGCAAGCGUUAUCCGGAUUUACUGGGUGUAAAGGGGGCGCAGGCGGUACGGCAAGUCUGAUGUGAAAGCCCGGGGCUCAACCCCGGUACUGCAUUGGAAACUGUCGGACUAGAGUGUCGGAGGGGUAAGUGGAAUUCCUAGUGUAGCGGUGAAAUGCGUAGAUAUUAGGAGGAACACCAGUGGCGAAGGCGGCUUACUGGACGAUUACUGACGCUG
Molecule: ribosomal RNA, 691 nt
Filed under: uncultured bacterium
Lineage: Bacteria
Description: bacterial SSU rRNA
Rfam family: Bacterial small subunit ribosomal RNA
Source: RNAcentral